CGGCACGAAGCGCAGCCUGGUAGCGCACCGUCAUGGGGUGUCGGGGGUCGGAGGUUCAAAUCCUCUCGUGCCGACCA
Molecule: transfer RNA, 77 nt
Filed under: Escherichia coli
Lineage: Bacteria; Pseudomonadati; Pseudomonadota; Gammaproteobacteria; Enterobacterales; Enterobacteriaceae
Description: tRNA-Pro
Rfam family: tRNA
About the family: Transfer RNA (tRNA) molecules are approximately 80 nucleotides in length. Their secondary structure includes four short double-helical elements and three loops (D, anti-codon, and T loops). Further hydrogen bonds mediate the characteristic L-shaped molecular structure. tRNAs have two regions of fundamental functional importance: the anti-codon, which is responsible for specific mRNA codon recognition, and the 3' end, to which the tRNAs corresponding amino acid is attached (by aminoacyl-tRNA synthetases). tRNAs cope with the degeneracy of the genetic code in two manners: having more than one tRNA (with a specific anti-codon) for a particular amino acid; and 'wobble' base-pairing, i.e. permitting non-standard base-pairing at the 3rd anti-codon position.
Source: RNAcentral